RNAcentral lists this transfer RNA (71 nucleotides) under Loxodonta africana (African savanna elephant). It matches the Rfam family "tRNA". Rfam says of the family: Transfer RNA (tRNA) molecules are approximately 80 nucleotides in length. Their secondary structure includes four short double-helical elements and three loops (D, anti-codon, and T loops). Further hydrogen bonds mediate the characteristic L-shaped molecular structure. tRNAs have two regions of fundamental functional importance: the anti-codon, which is responsible for specific mRNA codon recognition, and the 3' end, to which the tRNAs corresponding amino acid is attached (by aminoacyl-tRNA synthetases). tRNAs cope with the degeneracy of the genetic code in two manners: having more than one tRNA (with a specific anti-codon) for a particular amino acid; and 'wobble' base-pairing, i.e. permitting non-standard base-pairing at the 3rd anti-codon position. The record is from Rfam by way of RNAcentral. Lineage: Eukaryota; Metazoa; Chordata; Mammalia; Proboscidea; Elephantidae.
ACAUUGAUGGUUCAGUGGUAGAACUCUUGCCUUCCAUGCAGGGGACCCAGGUUUAGUUCCCAGUCAAUGCA